This 72-nucleotide transfer RNA is filed under the name Camelus bactrianus (Bactrian camel). It matches the Rfam family "tRNA". Rfam says of the family: Transfer RNA (tRNA) molecules are approximately 80 nucleotides in length. Their secondary structure includes four short double-helical elements and three loops (D, anti-codon, and T loops). Further hydrogen bonds mediate the characteristic L-shaped molecular structure. tRNAs have two regions of fundamental functional importance: the anti-codon, which is responsible for specific mRNA codon recognition, and the 3' end, to which the tRNAs corresponding amino acid is attached (by aminoacyl-tRNA synthetases). tRNAs cope with the degeneracy of the genetic code in two manners: having more than one tRNA (with a specific anti-codon) for a particular amino acid; and 'wobble' base-pairing, i.e. permitting non-standard base-pairing at the 3rd anti-codon position. Lineage: Eukaryota; Metazoa; Chordata; Mammalia; Artiodactyla; Camelidae. The record is from Rfam by way of RNAcentral. RNAcentral also lists the same sequence under 1 other name.
GAGGGCAUAGCUCAGUGGUAGAGUACAUGCUUAGCAUGCAUGAGGUCCUGGGUUCAAUCCCCAGUACCUCCA